AGGGAUGUGUCUCAGUCGGUAGGACAGCUGCCUUGCAUGUAGAAGGACUCAGCUUCAAUCCCUAACAUCUCCA
Podarcis lilfordi (Lilford's wall lizard) is the source of this 73-nucleotide non-coding RNA. Lineage: Eukaryota; Metazoa; Chordata; Lepidosauria; Squamata; Lacertidae. The record is from the annotation of a GenBank genome assembly.